UAUAUACUCCCUCCGUCCCAAAAUUCUUGUCUUAGAUUUGUCUAGAUACGGAUGUAUCUAAUACUAAAAUGUGACUUGAUACAUCCAUAUUUAGACAAAUCUAAGACAAGAAUUUUGGGACUGAGGGAAUAUAUC
This is a non-coding RNA of Triticum aestivum (bread wheat), 135 nucleotides long. NCBI's taxonomy places the organism in Eukaryota, Viridiplantae, Streptophyta, Magnoliopsida, Poales, Poaceae. The record is from Rfam.